This 408-nucleotide unclassified non-coding RNA is filed under the name uncultured Inocybe. RNAcentral's name for it is "sequence contains ITS2". The stretch from base 1 to 154 matches the Rfam family "5.8S ribosomal RNA". The record is from RNAcentral. Lineage: Eukaryota; Fungi; Basidiomycota; Agaricomycetes; Agaricales; Cortinariaceae.
AACUUUCAGCAAUGGAUCUCUUGGCUCUCGCAUCGAUGAAGAACGCAGCGAAAUGCGACAAGUAAUGUGAAUUGCAGAAUUCAGUGAAUCAUCGAAUCUUUGAACGCAUCUUGCGCUCCUUGGUAUUCCGAGGAGCAUGCCUGUUUGAGUGUCAUUUAAAACUUCUCAACCACUUGGAGUCUCUCUGGGUGGCUUGGAAAUGGGGGAUGUGCAGGCCAGCUAAUGGUCUGCUCCCCUGAAAUGAAUUAGUGGCAUCUGAGCAGAGACUACCACAGGUGUGAUAACUAUUGAUCAAUGCCCUUGGUAUAUACUGCAGGUUGUUGCUGCUUCUAAUGACCCAUUGACAAACUUGACCUCAAAUCAGGUAGGAUUACCCGCUGAACUUAAGCAUAUCAAUAAGCGGAGGCU